ACACCGAUGGUGAAGCGGUUAUCAUGCUUGCCUUCCAUUGACAAAAUAGUACAAAGGAUUAGCAAGCGGCAGGGGUUCGACUCCCCUUCGGUGUA
Non-coding RNA from Termitomyces sp. T32_za158, 95 nucleotides. The record is from the annotation of a GenBank genome assembly. Lineage: Eukaryota; Fungi; Basidiomycota; Agaricomycetes; Agaricales; Lyophyllaceae.